GUGCGAAAGCCUGAUCCAGCGACGCCGCGUGGGUGAAGAAGGCCUGCGGGUUGUAAAGCCCUUUCGGUGGGGAAGAAAAGCCUCGAGUUAACACCUCGGGGUCUUGACGUAACCCAUAGAAGAAGCACCGGCUAACUCUGUGCCAGCAGCCGCGGUAAUACAGAGGGUGCGAGCGUUAAUCGGAAUUACUGGGCGUAAAGCGCGCGUAGGCGGCUUUGCAAGUCGGGUGUGAAAUCCCCAGGCUUAACCUGGGAACUGCAUUCGAGACUGCAUUGCUAGAGUAUGGGAGAGGGAAGUGGAAUUUCCGGUGUAGCGGUGAAAUGCGUAGAUAUCGGAAGGAACAUCAGUGGCGAAAGCGACUUCCUGGACCAAUACUGACGCUCAUGUGCGAAAGCGUGGGGAGCAAACAGGAUUAGAUACCCUGGUAGUCCACGCCAUAAACGAUGAGAACUGGAUGUCGGGAGGGUCUGCCUCUCGGUGUCGUAGCUAACGCGUUAAGUUCUCCGCCUGGGGGAGUA
This 518-nucleotide ribosomal RNA is filed under the name uncultured bacterium. RNAcentral describes it as "bacterial SSU rRNA". It matches the Rfam family "Bacterial small subunit ribosomal RNA", at positions 373 to 882 of the family's 1533-position model. The record is from RNAcentral.